CAUGAUGUGGACUAUGGUCGUGCAUUUGCGUGUUCUCUGGACGUGACGCCAAAAUUGUGCUGUCAUGGGAAGCAUUGUACGCCAUGCUUGUGGAGCAACGUCUCUUUGAGUAUUUCUCCAGAUCCUGACGAUGAAGAGGACAGCGCUAUUGUGGAAUCAGAAAAUGAAGAUGAAUACAGUGGAGAAUUGGAUUCAAGAUGCGUUCCCACACCCAACAACACACCAGAAGGUCGAAGAAACUCUCUCAGUGAAGACCAUA
This is a non-coding RNA of Pimephales promelas (fathead minnow), 259 nucleotides long. Lineage: Eukaryota; Metazoa; Chordata; Actinopteri; Cypriniformes; Leuciscidae. The record is from RefSeq and is a predicted model, not a curated record.